GUCUCUUCGGAGACAUCCGAUAAAAUUGGAACGAUACAGAGAAGAUUAGCAUGGCCCCUGCACAAGGAUGACACGCACAAAUCGAGAAAUGGUUCAAAUUUUU
Molecule: small nuclear RNA, 103 nt
Filed under: Nelumbo nucifera (sacred lotus)
Lineage: Eukaryota; Viridiplantae; Streptophyta; Magnoliopsida; Proteales; Nelumbonaceae
Source: RNAcentral